RNAcentral lists this ribosomal RNA (491 nucleotides) under uncultured bacterium. RNAcentral's name for it is "partial 16S ribosomal RNA". It matches the Rfam family "Bacterial small subunit ribosomal RNA", at positions 29 to 507 of the family's 1533-position model. The record is from RNAcentral.
AGUGAACGCUGGCGGUAGGCCUAACACAUGCAAGUCGAACGGCAGCACAGUAAGAGCUUGCUCUUACGGGUGGCGAGUGGCGGACGGGUGAGGAAUACAUCGGAAUCUACUUUUUCGUGGGGAUAACGUAGGGAAACUUACGCUAAUACCGCAUACGACCUACGGGUGAAAGCAGGGGAUCUUCGGACCUUGCGCGAUUGAAUUAGCCGAUGUCGGAUUAGCUAGUUGGCGGGGUAAAGGCCCACCAAGGCGACGAUCCGUAGCUGGUCUGAGAGGAUGAUCAGCCACACUGGAACUGAGACACGGUCCAGACUCCUACGGGAGGCAGCAGUGGGGAAUAUUGGACAAUGGGCGCAAGCCUGAUCCAGCCAUACCGCGUGGGUGAAGAAGGCCUUCGGGUUGUAAAGCCCUUUUGUUGGGAAAGAAAAGCAGCAGGUUAAUACCCCGCUGUUCUGACGGUACCCAAAGAAUAAGCACCGGCUAACUUCGUG